RNAcentral lists this ribosomal RNA (447 nucleotides) under uncultured bacterium. Its description in RNAcentral is "bacterial SSU rRNA". It matches the Rfam family "Bacterial small subunit ribosomal RNA", at positions 29 to 524 of the family's 1533-position model. The record is from RNAcentral.
AACGAACGCUGGCGGCAGGCCUAACACAUGCAAGUCGAACGCCCCGCAAGGGGAGUGGCAGACGGGUGAGUAACGCGUGGGAACGUACCCUUCGGUUCGGAAUAACCCGGGGAAACUCGGGCUAAUACCGGAUACGUCCGCAAGGAGAAAGAUUUAUCGCCGAAGGAUCGGCCCGCGUUGGAUUAGCUAGUUGGUGGGGUAAUGGCCCACCAAGGCGACGAUCCGUAGCUGGUCUGAGAGGAUGAUCAGCCACACUGGGACUGAGACACGGCCCAGACUCCUACGGGAGGCAGCAGUGGGGAAUAUUGGACAGUGGGCGCAAGCCUGAUCCAGCCAUGCCGCGUGAGUGAAGAAGGCCUUAGGGUUGUAAAGCUCUUUCAGCGGGAAGAUAAUGACGGUACCCGCAGAAGAAGCCCCGGCUAACUUCGUGCCAGCAGCCGCAGUAAC